UCAACCCAAGGUAUGGCCUAGAUAACUCGGGUAUCACAUCUUUAUGCAUUCGAUAUCUGGUGAGAUAAUUCACGUUGUCUAAACCAUGUUUUGUAAGAAAUAA
This 103-nucleotide microRNA precursor is filed under the name Drosophila erecta. RNAcentral describes it as "microRNA der-mir-977 precursor". Its record names the gene der-mir-977. The record is from miRBase by way of RNAcentral. Lineage: Eukaryota; Metazoa; Arthropoda; Insecta; Diptera; Drosophilidae.